ACUCUGCUACAUAUCUACAUAUUUACCAGAGAGAAGUCUUCUCUCUGUAUUUACAUAGAUCAACAUAGAUCUACAACUACAAGCAAAAGUCUGUCUGCUGUCUGCUUUCAGUCCAUUUCAGUCUGCUACUCUCAGUCUGCUUCAUUGUCUUUUUGAGAACUGAGUCGUCAAGUCAGUAUAUAUCAGUCAAUAUGUUGAACCUAUUGCGUCAGCCAUUACUAAAAUUGUCAGAGUUUGGUAUUAAAAAAUUUGCGGAACCGAUUCCAAAUGGACUCCAAAAAUCAGAUGGAAGAUUUCGACAAUUGAACCAUGCGGCACGCUUUAAUAAAAAGAUUAUACUCAAAAAAGUGGGUGAUUUCAUUUUAGUUGGGACGGCUGUAAUGAUGGCUUCAGUUGUCGGCAUUAUGUCGUUCGCGUACAUUCAAGUAAAGAUGAUGGAUGAUGAUCAAAGAACCAUAUACAAAAAAAAUCAACUAAAAACUGAUGAUAUUGAUAAUAAAAAACAAAGUUAAUCUAGUUUUUUUUUAUUGUAAAGUUAAUCUUUGAAAUUAAUCUUGAUAUAUUAAUUAUUAUUAUUGAUUCUUAUAAUUCUAUUGUUUAUAAUCAUCUCGUAUUAUAAAAAAAAACUAAUUCAAAAAAAAAGAAAUAAAAUAAUCACAAUAAAACAUAAAAUUUAUCAUAAUUAAAUAAUAAAAAUAUUAAGAUAAAAAUUUGAUUAUUAUUUC
Long non-coding RNA from Aphidius gifuensis, 725 nucleotides. RefSeq lists it as uncharacterized. The record is from RefSeq and is a predicted model, not a curated record. NCBI's taxonomy places the organism in Eukaryota, Metazoa, Arthropoda, Insecta, Hymenoptera, Braconidae. The transcript is spliced from 3 exons.